This 253-nucleotide ribosomal RNA is filed under the name uncultured bacterium. RNAcentral's name for it is "partial 16S ribosomal RNA". It matches the Rfam family "Bacterial small subunit ribosomal RNA", at positions 524 to 776 of the family's 1533-position model. The record is from RNAcentral.
GACAGAGGGUGCAAACGUUGGUCGGAAUUACGGGGCGUAAAGCGCGUGUAGGCGGCUAUGCAAGUCGGAUGUGAAAGCCCUCGGCUCAACCGGGGAAGUGCACCCGAAACUGCAAAGCUAGAGUCUCGGAGAGGAUCGUGGAAUUCUCGGUGUAGAGGUGAAAUUCGUAGAUAUCGAGAGGAACACCGGUGGCGAAGGCGGCGAUCUGGACGAUGACUGACGCUGAGACGCGAAAGCGUGGGGAGCAAACAGG